This 434-nucleotide ribosomal RNA is filed under the name uncultured bacterium. Its description in RNAcentral is "partial 16S ribosomal RNA". It matches the Rfam family "Bacterial small subunit ribosomal RNA", at positions 31 to 507 of the family's 1533-position model. The record is from RNAcentral.
AGAGAACGUUGGGGGCAGGCCUAACACAUGCAAGUCGAACGAACCUUUCGGGGUUAGUGGCGGACGGGUGAGUAACACGUGGGAACGUGCCUUUAGGUUCGGAAUAACUCAGGGAAACUUGUGCUAAUACCGAAUGUGCCCUUCGGGGGAAAGAUUAAUCGCCUUUAGAGCGGCCCGCGUCUGAUUAGCUAGUUGGUUGAGGUAAUGGCUCACCAAGGCGACGAUCAGUAGCUGGUCUGAGAGGAUGAUCAGCCACAUUGGGACUGAGACACGGCCCAAACUCCUACGGGAGGCAGCAGUGGGGAAUCUUGCGCAAUGGGCGAAAGCCUGACGCAGCCAUGCCGCGUGAAUGAUGAAGGUCUUAGGAUUGUAAAAUUCUUUCACCGGGGACGAUAAUGACGGUACCCGGAGAAGAGGCCCCGGCUAACUUCGUG